RNAcentral lists this long non-coding RNA (319 nucleotides) under Phaseolus vulgaris (common bean). RNAcentral describes it as "long non-coding RNA (PVUL_LNC002299)". Lineage: Eukaryota; Viridiplantae; Streptophyta; Magnoliopsida; Fabales; Fabaceae. The record is from RNAcentral.
UCUUCACCUGUCCACCCACUAGCCCUACCAGCAUUGGAGGACACCAACUUUUGGGUAUCUUCCACCCCACUAGAGAGGUAACUAAGGCCACCUAUUUGGUCACCAAAACCUCCAACACCAACAUAUCCAACUUCUCCUUCUUUCACAUCACUCAUCUGAUUCUUCUUGCAGCUUCCAUCUGAAGAAGAGCUGCAACUUGUUUCACCCCCUAACAUAAAACCACAAUUAACUUGGUAAAGUCUCUCAAAACUGGAACAAGCUGGAGUAGAAGAAGAAUUGCCACUCAGAAGACUUGCGUAUGAAAUGGCCUCAGAGCCUG